This 543-nucleotide ribosomal RNA is filed under the name unclassified Flavobacteriaceae. RNAcentral describes it as "bacterial SSU rRNA". It matches the Rfam family "Bacterial small subunit ribosomal RNA", at positions 346 to 889 of the family's 1533-position model. Lineage: Bacteria; Pseudomonadati; Bacteroidota; Flavobacteriia; Flavobacteriales; Flavobacteriaceae. The record is from RNAcentral.
AAGCAGCAGUAAGGAAUAUUGGUCAAUGGACGCAAGUCUGAACCAGCCAUGCCGCGUGGAGGAUGAAGGUCCUCUGGAUUGUAAACUUCUUUUAUCUGGGACGAAAAAAGGGAAUUCUUUCUCGUCUGACGGUACCAGAUGAAUAAGCACCGGCUAACUCCGUGCCAGCAGCCGCGGUAAUACGGAGGGUGCAAGCGUUAUCCGGAUUCACUGGGUUUAAAGGGUGCGUAGGCGGGUAUGUAAGUCCGUGGUGAAAUCUCCGAGCUUAACUCGGAAACUGCCAUGGGUACUGCGUAUCUUGAAUGUUGUGGAGGUGAGCGGAAUAUGUCAUGUAGCGGUGAAAUGCUUAGAUAUGACAUAGAACACCAAUUGCGAAGGCAGCUCACUACACAAAUAUUGACGCUGAGGCACGAAAGCGUGGGGAUCAAACAGGAUUAGAUACCCUGGUAGUCCACGCCCUAAACGAUGAUUACUCGACAUACGCGAUACACAGUGUGUGUCUGAGCGAAAGCAUUAAGUAAUCCACCUGGAAUACUCCGCCGC